CUGCAUAUACAACUGACCACACAAAAUUUGAAUUUAUUUUCUCAAUUUGUGCUAUAAUAUACCUUAUCAAAGUUAUUGAAUAGAGUAAGAAAACAAAGAGUUUUUUGAACAUUUUAGUGCAACAAUGGGCUACAUAAACCUUGUAUUUUUUACGCUAUUUCCCUUCCUCUGUCAUCUUUCUUUCUCUUCAUCCUUACCUCAUUUGUGCCCCAAAUAUCAAGAUCUUGCUUUUCUACAAUUCAAGCACAUGUUUACACUAAGUCAUUAUGCUUUUGAACGUUGUUUCAACAUAAGAGGAUGACGGGACAAGUGAUUGAGGUUGAUCUCAGUUGAAGCCAACUUCGAGGAGAGUUUCAUUUCAACAGUAGCCUCUUUAAGCUUUCCAAUCUCAAAAGGCUUGAUUGUUUGAUAAUGAUUUUACCGGAUCACUCAUUUCAGCUAAAUUUAGUGAGCUUUCUAGUUUGACGCAUCUUGAUUUAUCAUAUUCAAUUUUUACAGGAAUAAUCCCAGCAGAAAUAUCUCUUCUUUCUAAAUACA
This is a long non-coding RNA of Solanum lycopersicum (tomato), 537 nucleotides long. RefSeq lists it as uncharacterized. NCBI's taxonomy places the organism in Eukaryota, Viridiplantae, Streptophyta, Magnoliopsida, Solanales, Solanaceae. The record is from RefSeq and is a predicted model, not a curated record.